Molecule: small RNA, 318 nt
Filed under: Pelobates cultripes (western spadefoot toad)
Lineage: Eukaryota; Metazoa; Chordata; Amphibia; Anura; Pelobatidae
Source: RNAcentral
UAGAGUGAGGGGGUGACUAGUGACAGAGUGAGGGAAGGGGUGACUAGUGGCAGAGUGAGGAAAGGAAGGGGUGACUAAUGACAGAGUGAGGGAGGUGGUGACUGUCAGUAGUCACCACCUCCCUCACUCUGUCACUAGUCACCACCUCCCUCACUCUAUCACUACUCCCUCCCUCUUUCUGUCACUAGUCACCCCCUCCGUCUCUUACUCUGUCACUAGUCACCCCCUAACUCACUAUGUCACCAGUCAUCCACUCACUCUGUCACCAGUCAUCCCUUCCUUCCCUCACUCUGCCACUAGUCACCCCUUCCCUCACUC